ACGGCUCAGUAACACGUGGAUAACCUGCCCUGGGUCCGGCAUAACCCCGGGAAACUGGGGAUAAUUCCGGAUAACGCACAUAUGCUGGAAUGCUUUAUGCGUCAAAUGGAUUCGUCUGCCCAAGGAUGGGUCUGCGGCCUAUCAGGUAGUAGUGGGUGUAAUGUACCUACUAGCCUACGACGGGUACGGGUUGUGAGAGCAAGAGCCCGGAGAUGGAUUCUGAGACAUGAAUCCAGGCCCUACGGGGCGCAGCAGGCGCGAAAACUUUACAAUGCGGGAAACCGUGAUAAGGGGACACCGAGUGCCAGCAUCAUAUGCUGGCUGUCCGGGUGUGUAAACUACACCUGUUAGCAAGGGCCGGGCAAGACCGGUGCCAKCCGCCGCGGUAACACCGGCGGCCCGAGUGGUGAUCGUGAUUAUUGGGUCUAAAGGGUCCGUAGCCGGCUUGGUCAGUCCUCCGGGAAAUCUGACAGCUCAACUGUUAGGCUUUCGGAGGAUACUGCCAGACUUGGAACCGGGAGAGGUAAGAGGUACUACAGGGGUAGGAGUGAAAUCUUGUAAUCCCUGUGGGACCACCUGUGGCGAAGGCGUCUUACCAGAACGGGUUCGACGGUGAGGGACGAAAGCUGGGGGCACGAACCGGAUUAGAUACCCGGGUAGUCCCAGCCGUAAACGAUGCUCGCUAGGUGUCAGGCAUGGCGCGACCGUGUCUGGUGCCGCAGGGAAGCCGUGAAGCGAGCCACCUGGGAAGUACGGCCGCAAGGCUGAAACUUAAAGGAAUUGGCGGGGGAGCAC
Molecule: ribosomal RNA, 795 nt
Filed under: uncultured archaeon
Lineage: Archaea
Description: bacterial SSU rRNA
Rfam family: Archaeal small subunit ribosomal RNA
Source: RNAcentral